GUGCUUACUUUGGCAACACAUAUACAAAAAAUGGGAACAAUAAAGAUUUUGAUGGUCCCUGUACAAAGAUAGCAUGCAAAUUCAGGAAAAGUUCCAUAUUUUU
Molecule: small nuclear RNA, 103 nt
Organism: Sarcophilus harrisii (Tasmanian devil)
Lineage: Eukaryota; Metazoa; Chordata; Mammalia; Dasyuromorphia; Dasyuridae
Source: Ensembl